RNAcentral lists this ribosomal RNA (468 nucleotides) under uncultured bacterium. RNAcentral describes it as "partial 16S ribosomal RNA". It matches the Rfam family "Bacterial small subunit ribosomal RNA", at positions 28 to 507 of the family's 1533-position model. The record is from RNAcentral.
GACGAACGCUGGCGGCGUGCUUAACACAUGCCAGUCGAACGGAAAGGCCCUGCUUUUGUGGGGUGCUCGAGUGGCGAACGGGUGAGUAACACGUGAGUAACCUGCCCUUGACUUUGGGAUAACUUCAGGAAACUGGGGCUAAUACCGGAUAGGAGCUCCUGCUGCAUGGUGGGGGUUGGAAAGUUUCGGCGGUUGGGGAUGGACUCGCGGCUUAUCAGCCUGUUGGUGGGGUAGUGGCUUACCAAGGCUUUGACGGGUAGCCGGCCUGAGAGGGUGACCGGCCACAUUGGGACUGAGAUACGGCCCAGACUCCUACGGGAGGCAGCAGUGGGGAAUAUUGCACAAUGGGCGGAAGCCUGAUGCAGCAACGCCGCGUGCGGGAUGACGGCCUUCGGGUUGUAAACCGCUUUCGCCUGAGACGAAGCGUGAGUGACGGUAAUGGGUAAAGAAGCACCGGCUAACUACGUG